Molecule: long non-coding RNA, 336 nt
Organism: Sinocyclocheilus anshuiensis
Lineage: Eukaryota; Metazoa; Chordata; Actinopteri; Cypriniformes; Cyprinidae
Exons: 3
Source: RefSeq, a predicted model, not a curated record
UGAAUUUCUACUAGUGAUUCCUACUCGACUUAAGCAAGUACCUAAGGACACCCUAAAACGUUGACAUGGUUGAGUGGACAGAUGCUGAGCGAAGUGCCAUCAUUGGCCUGUGGGGAAAGCUCCAUCCCGAUGAAAGCGGACCUCAGGCCCUAGCCAGGUAGUUCUCUCUCUGAUGGACCAGGCAAUUAACCAAACUCAGAAGAACAAGGCACGUGAUGGGAGGCGGCGGUGGUGCUGAGUAAAUAUCAGAGGCAAUCGGUCCGUGAUCCUUUCAGUCAAGGUGGGAGGCUCGCCAUCAAUUAUGGAAAUCCACAUGAAAGUUCAUCCUCACAAGGG